GAUAAACGCUGGCGGCGUGCUUAACACAUGCAAGUCGAACGAAGUUUUUCUUUCGGGAGGAACUUAGUGGCGGACGGGUGAGUAACGCGUGGGUAACCUGCCCUGUACAGGGGGACAACAGCUGCAAACGGCUGCUAAUACCGCAUAAGCCCUUAGCACUGCAUGGUGCAUAGGGAAAAGGAGCAAUCCGGUACAGGAUGGACCCGCGUCUGAUUAGCCAGUUGGCAGGGUAACGGCCUACCAAAGCGACGAUCAGUAGCCGAUCUGAGAGGAUGUACGGCCACAUUGGGACUGAGACACGGCCCAGACUCCUACGGGAGGCAGCAGUGGGGAAUAUUGCACAAUGGAGGAAACUCUGAUGCAGCGACGCCGCGUGAGUGAAGAAGUAUUUCGGUAUGUAAAGCUCUAUCAGCAGGAAAGAAAAUGACGGUACCUGACUAAGAAGCACCGGCUAAAUACGUG
Molecule: ribosomal RNA, 462 nt
Filed under: uncultured bacterium
Lineage: Bacteria
Description: partial 16S ribosomal RNA
Rfam family: Bacterial small subunit ribosomal RNA
Source: RNAcentral